CUUUUUCUGACAACAACCUUAUGAGGUUCUGUGAACAAGACAAGACCAUGGGAAUUGUAGUUGAGAAGAGGAAACAGACUGCAGGUACAUGCUGGGGGAACCGGGGCUCAGGGCUUCGCCCUGCUAUGUCUCUACUCACUCUCUGAUGAUCUCUCCAAGGGACUGAUGGGGCUUUCAGUCCCAUGCCUGUAUCAUGGCAACCCAUAUUUCUAUCUCCAGCCCAGCCCUCUCCAGACCUGUGUGUCUGCCCAAUCAAUCUCUCCACUUGUUUUUCUAAUGAACACCUCAAACCUAAAAUAUAUAACAUUAAGCUGUCUUAUCCCUCUACCCCAGCAUCUUCCAAUCUCAGCCAGCAGCAUCUCCGUUUUUCCAGCUGCUUGGAGUCAUCCCUGAUUCCUGUCUUUUUCUCAUACCCAAAAAAACAAUCAGACAGAAAAUCUUAUAUAUAUGUAAAUCUUCGCCCCGGUUGGAGUGCAAUGGCGCAAUCUCGGCUCACUGAAACCUCUGCCUCCUGGGUUCACGCUAUUCUCUUGCCUCAGCCUCCCGAGUAGGUGGGAUUAAGGGUGCACACCAUCACACCCAGCUAAUGUUUUGUAUUUUUAUUGAUUGAUUGAUUGACUGAGACAGAGUCUCGCUCUGUCGCCCAGGCUGGAGUGCCGUGGCGCCAUCUCGGCUCACUGCAAGCUCUGCCUCCCAGGUUCACACCAUUCUCCUGCCACAGCCUCCCGAGUAGCUGGGACUACGGGCACCUGCCACCACUCCCUGCUAAUUUUUUUUUUUUUUUUUUUUUAGUAGAGACGGGGUUUCACCGUGUUAGCCAGGAUGGUCUCGAUCUCCUGACCUCUUGAUCCGCUCACCUUGGCCUCCCAAAGUGCUGGGAUUACAGGCGUGAGCCACCGCGCCCGGCCUUUUAUCCUACUUUCAAAAAACAUACCCAGAGUCUGAGUGUUUCUCCUUACCUCCAGCGCCACUCCAUGGCCCGAGCUCUGUUUCACCUGGUUCUCACCUGGAUCGCGGCCUCCAAUUUGCGCAGUGACCCCUACAGUCUAUUCUCCAAACAGCAGCUGGCGUGGUCAUUAUGAAAAGCAAUGUCCACCUGCUGCUCAAAAACCCACGAAUGGCUCCCCAUUUCUUUCCCAUUAAAGCCAAAGUCUAAAACAUUUACAAAGCGUUAUAUGAUCAGUUCCUACCUGCUUUCCUUAUGUUGGAGGCUGUGAAGCUCCU
This 1224-nucleotide long non-coding RNA is filed under the name Homo sapiens (human). RNAcentral's name for it is "HSALNT0179958". The record is from RNAcentral. Lineage: Eukaryota; Metazoa; Chordata; Mammalia; Primates; Hominidae.